CACCGUCUUCACGGAAAAAUCCAGAAGCGCUCUCCACCGCUUCUCCCGAGGCCUCCCGGAGCCCUCUCCACAAUCGCACAACAAUUUGAUUUGAUCGUUUUAUUUUUGUCGUCCCGGGGAUGCCGCCCCGUCUCCAUUGGCCCUCCCAUGCCAAUCCCCCGCCAUCAAUUACCUCGUUUUGUUGGUGGCCAAUACAGCAGCGAUGAACGCGUGCGAGGAGAACGUCAGCAGGAGAUGGAGAUGGAGGAGGAGGAAGAGAAGAGGAGAGCCUCGUGCAGGAGAUGGAGAUGGAGGAGGAGGGGGAGAGGAUGGUAUGAAGGAGGUCAAGAGGACGGCGACGCCGAGGGGGGCGGGCAACAUAAGCACCAGGUGCGCAGCGAAACGGGAGGCCGUCCCGCUGAACGCUGACAGCCCGACCGCUGCGGCGGGCAGACCGCUGGACCCACACGGGGCGCCGCCUCUCUCCCUAGGGGAGGUCACCGGCGUCACGGGCGCCUGGUGCUAGGAUGGGGAGACGCGCCGCUGCGCGACAUCUCUUGACGCGACCACCGCCGCCCCUCAUGGUGUUGCGUGUGGGACGACCGAGCCGCAAGACCGCCGACCCACUACGCCCCUGUCCGCCGCGCGGGCCUGCUGCGCGGGCCGAGGUGCUGCUGCGUGCGGAUAGGUCCGCACCGUCCUGCUGUCGUCGUGCGCUCUCCGGCCGCCCCGCCGUGAUGACGCCUUCAUCCUGUGUGAUGCCUGCAGAUUGGUCUAUGAGCUCUGCUGUUGCGCAUCAAGAUCGGCAGUUGGGAUACAACGGCAGGCUGCCGUCAACUACGGUCUGCAGAAGGAUGUGUUGUCUCCUCUAGAUUACCGUACUUUACAAGAGACCUGUGAAAAUUGGAGGAUGAAUUGGACCUUCUUUUCA
This is a non-coding RNA of Lolium perenne, 910 nucleotides long. The record is from RefSeq and is a predicted model, not a curated record. NCBI's taxonomy places the organism in Eukaryota, Viridiplantae, Streptophyta, Magnoliopsida, Poales, Poaceae.